GAUCAUCAAAACUCUCAAAUAAUGUGUUCUCUUGUAAACUAGUAUAGGAUCUCGCACGUGGUCACUGUCAUCAUUAUCAAAUAACAGAUCAUUACUUAACACAUUCAUCAUAAAAUGGUUUAGUACACGGAAUAUACUAAUUAUUAUCGGUUGAUAAUGACAAAUGGGCUUGUUUGCAACAAAAUACUGCAACUGCAAAAUUAUGCAAACAUAGUUCUGUUUGAGGUUAGUCUUCAAAUCUGACUUUAGGUUCCACUUAAGCGGCACUUCAUCUUCCCCUUAAAUUAUUUGCCUGUUACGGUUUGCCUUAACGCUAGGUGACAGUGGUGCUAACGAAUUCUGUGACUUAACUGCACAGAUUACAGAGUAUAGAUGGGACAGUUUUGCUUUCCCGCCCAAAUGAUUUUGCUAAAUGCAACCACAUAGAGGCGUCGUCCAAAAAUUCAGAGGAUCAGCGGAUUGUUUGCAUGCGUUUGUUUUGUACAUAUGUCCAUAAGAGGACUCUGAACAUACAGUAUUUUACAGUUAAGAUUAUUCCGUAAAUUUUCAAUCUUUCAGUCUAUCAAUGUUUUUAAUUUGCAAUCAUAAGCAUUUUCAACUAGUUUGAUAACUGUGAUAUUUAUCUUUGUUUUACAAUAAUGGAGCAUAACGUGGCUCGGAGAAUGACUAAGUGUUGUGUUCGGAAUUCUGUGAUCUCUAGAUAACUGUGAAGUAUAUUUGAGUUUUACAACAACUGAAUAUAAGGUAGCCAGAUACCAGCCGCUUCCAGUGUUGUGUUGUGUUCGUGAAAAUCAAAAUGGUCGACGAUUUCGAUUUCCUGAAAAUCACUAAAAGCUUGACCCGAAAUAAUUUUGCAUCAUUUUACUCCAAGUUAUGGCCUGUACAGAAAAUAUACAAUAAAAAAACAGAAGUAGCCGCAGUCCAAGGCUGGACGCUAAGACGGAAAGAGUUUUAGUGAGUAAACAGCUUGGCUGGAGCCCCACAGAACCCAGCGCAAAAACAACCAUCAGGUACCAACUGAACGUAAAUAGCAGCACUACACGAUCUAACUCAUGUAAUCUCAAUAUAAAUUACAUCAUAAAUUACAAACAUAAUGAAACAUUCAUCAUGACAACACCGCAAAGGGGGAGUACGUGAUUGUGACAUGAUAGUAAGAGGGAAAUAGGAUUUGUUGGACAAGUAAAUACGGCAAUUUCUCAUGUUUUUGGUGAUAAUAAGUGAUAAUCGUGAUAUUAAUAAACUGUUACGCUUAAAAGAAAUUGGGCGAAGUUUCAUUUGCAGGAAAAGCGGCCUGAAUUUUCCUAAUCUGUACUGUUUUGCACGAUUGUAAACAGGGACCAGUGGCCAUACGGGUUAAGAUGUCAAUUGGAAACUUUGUUAAUGAUAAUGUCGCCACUGCUGUGUUACACAACAUAGCCCAGGAAAUGAACGAAGCUGAUCCACCUUCACCGGAAAAUUUAAGUAUGGAUGAAUUCCAUUAUCUUAUAGAAAGCGGAAAUGUUCCCAGGAUAGCUUCCGAUGGAAAUGAGAAUAGAAAUAAUAACUACCGUCAAGUGUUAAUUGACAAUUACUUUUAAAAUUUAAAUUAAGAAAAUGUGUUUAAUUAUGAUAAAAAUGUUUGUUAUAAAUGGUUAAAUAAAAACCCUUAUAUUUAA
Long non-coding RNA from Dendroctonus ponderosae (mountain pine beetle), 1655 nucleotides. RefSeq lists it as uncharacterized. The transcript is spliced from 3 exons. NCBI's taxonomy places the organism in Eukaryota, Metazoa, Arthropoda, Insecta, Coleoptera, Curculionidae. The record is from RefSeq and is a predicted model, not a curated record.